GCAUGGAUUAGGUAUCUUGACGUCAUGGAUUUGCUGCAUUUUAGUGCACUUGUGCUUGAGUUAUUCUCAGGAUCUUUUAUUUUUAUCUGUCUGCAUUUGGAGUUCGCCGCGUCCCUAACAUCAAUGAAAUGUCACUUUUCUACAGGGAUUGCACAUUUGUCUACUCAGCAAUAACUACUCCUGAUUUUAAUAGGACUUCACCCUCAAAUAAAUAUUUAUAUAGGGUUGCAAUCCACUAAAGAGAGGAUGUAACUCAGUGUUUUAGCCAUCUGGCUGUGGAGCCAAAGGUUCGGUUCGGCACUCUGCCUCCUUGCCAGGGGCUGAACUUGAUCCAUAGGCUCCCUACCAGCCCUGCAGUUCUAAAUUGAUGAACGGAUGAUGCUGAUGCUUAGUAAGCAUCCUAACAUUUUUUCCGUGUAUCAUAUAAUACAACGUGGUAUGUCAUCUUUCCAGUAAGAAUUCGAGCCUAAGGGCUUUUUGUCUUAAACAAUCGGCCGUCUUUGCCAUUCUUUAAUUUGCUAAGAAUUCAGCAGUUUAUAUUUCAGUGACACUGUCUCUUUAACGACGGGCGGAGGCAACCCUCGAGCGAGCACUCGGCUUCUUCUCCCCUUCACAAAUAUGGCUAACUUGUUCUUUCCGCUCUCUUAUCCGCCCAACGCAAAGAGCGUCGGGACAAAAAGGUCACUCGCGCGCAACUACGUCGCCCGUUACCCAAGUCCUGUGACCUGCCGACCAAUGAAGUGACAGAUGGAACAACGGAGGGGAGGGGCCGUUCGCACUGAUUGUGAUUCGGAGACAGACGAUCACGUGAAGGCAGGUUCUUUGUUGCUGGAGGUAAUAGUUGAGCGAGUGGUACAGUAUAUAGAUAAUUCAGAAGGUGAGCUCAUUUGUCUUAAAAAUGUGGAUGUGCCCUUCACCAGACAAAGAAGAUACAAUUUUUAAAAUCCUACCUUGGCAUAUGUUUCAGAAGAUCUCAAGCAUACAAUUUCUUUAGAAAGCAAGAUACAGAAGCCUGUCUAUGAUUGUAUAGUUCUAAUGCACUCUGAAAUGGAGUUCACUGACUGACAGCCAGCCCUUUGUCAGUAGAGAUGAAGAGACACAAUUGAUUCUACUCCCCUGAGCUGAAAUCGAUACCAUAUAUCUCAAGGUUGCUCUUUAAAUUUUUAGUUUCCAUUUUGAAAUAUUGUAUAACUACAAAUGCUGUAGCUUUAAUAGUUUACCUGGUUCGACUUUUCUAUUUCUUCUUCCAUUUCACAGUCUGUAAUGCCCAGCAUGAUGAUGAGUCUUCAAGGACUCAAAAGCAAUCCCUUUCAAUUAUAUGUUAUAAGUCAGUUAAACACACUGCUGGGCCCUGAGUUUGACUUUUAGCCAUGGGACGCAUGGCUGUGGGUUUUUUUCUUUUGAUUUUGUUUUUCUUUUGCAGCACCAUUAAGAAAAAUAUAAAGGAAGAACAAAUGGAAAUGUUGCUGAUAGAGGAAAAAUGCCAUGCUUCCAGUUCUGCUAUACUCCAUUCACUUCUGUUCUGAAGCAAUUCUAGUCUUUCCAGGAAGAAAUAAAGAUUGUGUUUGAGGAAGAGAAGGCA
This 1582-nucleotide long non-coding RNA is filed under the name Pogona vitticeps (central bearded dragon). Its description in RNAcentral is "lncRNA (ENSPVIG00000024628.1)". The record is from RNAcentral. Lineage: Eukaryota; Metazoa; Chordata; Lepidosauria; Squamata; Agamidae.